This 29-nucleotide non-coding RNA is filed under the name Rattus norvegicus (Norway rat). Lineage: Eukaryota; Metazoa; Chordata; Mammalia; Rodentia; Muridae. The record is from RNAcentral.
UGUUAGACUUUAUCAAGGUCCUUGUGCGC